This is a ribosomal RNA of Danio rerio (zebrafish), 115 nucleotides long. The record is from Ensembl. Lineage: Eukaryota; Metazoa; Chordata; Actinopteri; Cypriniformes; Danionidae.
GCCGGCAGCUAUCUCUUUGCAACUCUCACAUGGUUGCCCACUGAAGCUAAGCAGAGCUGUGCCCGGUCAGUACCUAGAUGGGAGACCACAUAGGAAAGCCAGGUUGCUGCCGGAA